CCUACGGGUGGCAGCAGUGAGGAAUAUUGGUCAAUGGCCGUAAGGCUGAACCAGCCAAGUAGCGUGAGGGAAGACGUCCCUCUGUGUUGUAAACCUCUUUUCUGCGGGGGUAAAGGUGUCCACGUGUGGAUGUUUGCAGGUACCGCAUGAAUACGGACCGGCUAAUUCCGUGCCAGCAGCCGCGGUAAUACGGAGGGUCCGGGCGUUAUCCGGAUUUAUUGGGUUUAAGGGGAGCGUAGGCCGAUCUUUAAGCGUGCCGUGAAAUUUUGUGGCUUAACCAUGAGAGUGCGGCGCGAACUGGGGACCUUGAGUGCACGGAAGGCAGGCGGAAUUCGUGGUGUAGCGGUGAAAUGCUUAGAUAUCACGAAGAACCCCGAUUGCGAAGGCAGCCUGCCGCAGCGUUACUGACGUUGAAGCUCGAAAGCGCGGGGAUCGAACAGGAUUAGAUACCCGAGUAGUC
Molecule: ribosomal RNA, 460 nt
Filed under: uncultured bacterium
Lineage: Bacteria
Description: partial 16S ribosomal RNA
Rfam family: Bacterial small subunit ribosomal RNA
Source: RNAcentral